This 90-nucleotide transfer RNA is filed under the name Arsenicicoccus piscis. RNAcentral's name for it is "tRNA-Cys". The record is from RNAcentral. Lineage: Bacteria; Bacillati; Actinomycetota; Actinomycetes; Micrococcales; Intrasporangiaceae.
GCCGCCGGCAGCGCGGGGGGCAACGUCAAGGUCGGCAUGGCCUACGACGUGGGUGGCCGUGGCGACCAGUCGUUCAACGACUCGGCGGCG